CCUGGGUCCACAAAAUGAACCCCUUAAAGAUCCUAUCUCCACAACCUCAAAACAUGACUAGAUGUAAAGGUCUAUCUCUCUGUGAGCUCUCGAUAACGACAUCCCUUACAGGACAAAAAUAAAUCAAGUGAACUGUUAAAAAAACAAACUAGUAACCUUGUAAGAGGACUUCAUCAGGACGCACUAUCAUAGUCUUGGCACGGUCUCUCCAAUACUUUCAUUAUUUC
Molecule: non-coding RNA, 227 nt
Organism: Pelobates cultripes (western spadefoot toad)
Lineage: Eukaryota; Metazoa; Chordata; Amphibia; Anura; Pelobatidae
Source: the annotation of a GenBank genome assembly